RNAcentral lists this ribosomal RNA (164 nucleotides) under uncultured bacterium. Its description in RNAcentral is "partial 16S ribosomal RNA". It matches the Rfam family "Bacterial small subunit ribosomal RNA", at positions 355 to 509 of the family's 1533-position model. The record is from RNAcentral.
UAGGGAAGUUUUCGUCAAUGGCGCAAGCCUGAACGAGCGAUGCCGCGUGAGUGAAAGAAGGCCUUCGGGUCGUAAAGCUCUGUUGCGGGGGAAAAAAGGACAGCAUCAGGAAAUGGGUGCUGACUGAUGGUGCCCCGCCAGAAAGUCACGGCUAACUACGUGCC